AAAAAUAUAAAAUCAAUGUUUUAUGUUCAAACGACUCUUCUUCUCUCUCCGCCAGUCUCCCUCUUUCCUCCUCUCUCUCGCCGUAUCUGGAGGGUAAGAGGAGGUUUUAACCCGUCUCUUAGCUUCAUCUCCGAUCAAAUCAGAUUAUCUGUUUGUUAUUCGUUAUCUCAUGUGGUUCUCUGUUUCAGUUUGACUCUGGAAUCUGACUUUGUGAUUGUGGCAAAUAUUCUUUUUUAUUAUUCUCAGAUAGCUCAUUUGUUUUGAUUUUGUAAUAAACUCAAUUUGUCCUGUUCUUUAUAUUAGACACAAAGUGUCCCACAUCGGAAGUUGGAACUAA
Molecule: long non-coding RNA, 337 nt
Organism: Raphanus sativus (radish)
Lineage: Eukaryota; Viridiplantae; Streptophyta; Magnoliopsida; Brassicales; Brassicaceae
Exons: 2
Source: RefSeq, a predicted model, not a curated record